CAGGGUGUGUGUGACAGGCGCUUCUGGUUAUGUUGCUUCUUGGCUUGUUAAGCGACUUCUACAGUCUGGGUAUCAUGUAAUAGGAACAGUCCGAGACCCAGGUUCCAUCACUCCAUUUCUUCUUCUUCAUCAUCAACUCAUGUCCCUGUUCAUCAAUAGACAUUCAUCAAUAGACAGAAUUCAGUGCUCAUUUGGACUCGAUUUACUCAUCUCUUCGGAUUACAAGAUGGAACUAACAAUAACAGAUUUGCAGGGGGCCAUAAGAAAUUGGCCCAUCUGUGGGAGUUGGAAGGUGCAAAGGACAGGCUUCAGCUUGUGAAGGCCAAUCUCAUGGAUGAAGGCAGCUUUGAUGAUGCCGUAAUGGGAUGUGAAGGUGUCUUCCAUACCGCAUCUCCCGUGGUCGUAGCCAUGUAUCCCAAGGUAUGCAGUUCCUCUCAUCAUGGCAUGUCCAUUUGAACAGUAGCUGAAAACUGCUAUUCUUCCCUCUUAUUUGGAGUUGGACACAUGGAAAAUAGUUCUCUCUUAAAACCGCUUGCAAAAGAGAGAGAAAAAUGGUCAGGAGAACAUACAGCUUAGUUGCAUUUGUGGAAAUUUGUCUCAUUUUGUUGUUUGUGGCCAUGGCUCCUGGUGUUGACAUUUAGCAGGCUGAGAUACUGGAUCCUGCAGUCACUGGCACUCUAAAUGUGUUGCGAUCAUGCAAGAAGAAUCCAGCACUAAGGAGAGUUGUUCUGACGUCGUCUUCAUCUGCAAUAAGAGUAAGAGAGAAUGUCAACCCCAGAUUACCACUGGAUGAGACAUCAUGGAGCUCUGUGGAACUUUGCCAAACGUUCCAGGUGAAAGACCAUAACUAAUCUGCUACUGCAUGUUUGGCACAUUUAUACAUACACAAUACUUAUUUAGAUGGCUUUUUGGUUAUACAAUUAUUGAAGGCUAAAUGAACCCUUCUUGCUAUGAUAAGAGCAGAAACACUAAGCAAAAAAGAUCCAUGGCAAUGUGCUUAAUUCUGAAUAAUGCUCAUAUAUUCUUUUUGCUUUUUGUUAUCCAAGAUGUGGUAUGCCCUAGCAAAAGUUCUAGCAGAGAAGGCAGCUUGGGAAUUUGCAAAGGAGAACAAAAUAGACCUUGUAACUCUUCUUCCAUCAUUCAUCGUCGGACCAAGUCUGCCCCAUGAUUUGUGUCUAACUGUUAGUGACGUCCUUGGCCUACUUCGAGGUAUUUCUAAUGCCGCAAUGGAUCAUCCUUCCUUUCUAUGGAAAACAAAAUUUCAAGGCACUAAAUGCCUUCUUUUCAACAAUAGGUACAUCACACUAUAAGUACUGAUGAAACUAACUUGCAGGAGAAAAAGAUAGGUUCUCAGCUUAUGGCAGAAUGGGCUAUGUUCACAUUGAUGAUGUUGCCUGCUGCCACAUUUUGGUGUACGAAAAUGACAAUGCUCAAGGGCGAUAUCUCUGCAGUUCCAAUGUCCUUGAUAAUCAUGAAGUAGCUGCCCUGCUUGCAAACCGCUAUCCUUCAUUGCCCAUCCCAAAUAGGUUAGUUCUAUUUAUGGUAUCAUAUUGUAUAUAUCAUUGUAAAUUACAAGCUAAGGUUCUAGAGGCUGAAGUUUCCUUGUUAUGAAACUAGAAUCUCGCAAAAUUUGGAAAAGAAUGAUGUGUCUAAGAAUACACAAAACUUUAAGAACAAUUUGAGACACUUAUUUGUAUGCAAGUAAAAUCUUUCAGAAUAUAAGGGAUUUAAGAAACAACUGAAGAACCAUGAACUGAUGUCUAUAACCUACUUUUUGAUGAUUUAUUUGAAAAAUAAAAUAAAAGAAGCAAACAAUUUAACAUCUAUGAUUUAUUCUUUGACUAUUGUCUUCGUGUAAAUAUAUAAAUUCUUACUAGGUAAUCUUUCCUUUGCAUUAUAAGAAGUUGACUUGUGUUCAGGUUCCACAAUUACCAUGCUGAGAUACCACGUUACCAGUUUGACACAUCCAAACUACGUGACUUGGGGUUUAAAUUCAAGGGUACUGAAGAGAUGUUUGAUGAUUGCAUUGCAUCGCUGAGGACACAAGGCUAUCAGAUCUAAUGAUUUAAGUACCUUCUCGAUUUGCCAACAUUACUUACUAGAUAAUAAAAGCUUUAAACAAGUCGUAUGAACCAUUUUAAUAAAUCUCUGUGUCAAGAACUUUUAAGUACAGGACAUGCUAUGGGCGCCAAUAUAUCAUUCUCUUAUAUUAAUAAACUACAUUACUUUGGCUUGCUUCUUGUUACAUUCAAUUAAAUAUUACAAGAAAGUAUCACUAGUAAGCAUGGGUAUAAUUCUAGAAGAGCUGAGAGUGUUCUACUUGAUCUCACAAGGGACAAGAUGCAGUGCAACAUUUGACAUGCAUAGCACGCUGAUCUGUUCUGUGUUGGUUUGUGCAUCGUCAUUUUGCCUAAAUUGUACAUUCAGAUUAUUUCAUAUUUGAUAAUGGGGUUUAACGUCAUUAGGAACACUGUGAUGAUGUAGCUAUUGUAUAAUUCGGAACAACCAUUUCCUUUCUGCAAAGACACAGAAACUAUUUGUGUAGCUCACGUAAUUGUCUUAUGGUGCAUCUGUGCACAGAGGCCUAUAAUAUGGUGCAUCUAUGACAUUUACCUAGACAGUAAUAUGCUAAACUAAUGACUAUUUUCUUGAACACCUUUCCAACUUAAUGAAGAACAAGAAAAUGCUUGAGAAUUUUAUAACUUUGAAAGAACAUAGCAUGAGCAACUCAGUUAUUACUUGUUUAUCAAAUUCAAGAUAGUAAUCAAUACAUAAGGUGAUGUAAAGAAUGAUCCAAGAUUAGAUCCAAAACACAGAAAUCAUGAGAAAUAAUUUUACUAGUUUGUCAGAGAACUUCAAUCAGGUAUAUAUCUGACACAAUCAGCCUCAUGACAUCCAUAACCACAGCCUUAUCAGAAUUCUGAUCAAAAUUAACUAGAACCUUUGAUAAUUGCUCAUACGAGAUGCAUCGGUUUACUUAAAAACAAUAUUUUUAUCACGAGCACAAAAGAAAAAAGAAAAAUGCAAACAUACUACAUUAUCAGUGAUAGGGAACAAAUUGGAGGAUGCCCAAUGAACAACGAGAAAAAACAGAAAACAGUAUGUACCAAUUACCCAAGGAAGAGAUCAAAAUGGUUCUUACGAGUUCUUUUUCCUGACGAUGGCCUUCAGAACCAUUGGCGAGAAUGGUCCUGUCUUGUCCAAAUGCACUCCAACAGCUUUUUCCAUCAAGAACAAAACAUCUCCCUCCUGCAGCCUCUUGACAACAUUCUAAGCUUCCUUCACCCCCUUCUUUUUACAUAAUCCAUCGACCAAACUGAUAGAAAUUAAGCGAAGAAGAUAGAAAGAUAGAAAUUAUAGAAGAAACUAUGAAAUGUAUAAGAUAUAAUUGCCUAAUACAUUUUGAUAGUGAGUUCUUGACAGUCAUUUAUACACACUCAGUAGGGAGGUUAUACA
RNAcentral lists this long non-coding RNA (3456 nucleotides) under Musa acuminata (dwarf banana). RNAcentral describes it as "long non-coding RNA (MACU_LNC008660)". The record is from RNAcentral. Lineage: Eukaryota; Viridiplantae; Streptophyta; Magnoliopsida; Zingiberales; Musaceae.